This 460-nucleotide ribosomal RNA is filed under the name uncultured bacterium. RNAcentral describes it as "partial 16S ribosomal RNA". It matches the Rfam family "Bacterial small subunit ribosomal RNA", at positions 338 to 795 of the family's 1533-position model. The record is from RNAcentral.
CCUACGGGAGGCAGCAGUGAGGAAUAUUGGUCAAUGGACGAGAGUCUGAACCAGCCAAGUAGCGUGAAGGAUGACUGCCCUAUGGGUUGUAAACUUCUUUUAUAAAGGAAUAAAACGAGGCACGUGUGCCUUUUUGCAUGUACUUUAUGAAUAAGGAUCGGCUAACUCCGUGCCAGCAGCCGCGGUAAUACGGAGGAUCCGAGCGUUAUCCGGAUUUCUUGGGUUUAAAGGGAGCGUAGAUGGGUUGUUAAGUCAGUUGUGAAAGUUUGCGGCUCAACCGUAAAAUUGCAAUUGAUACUGGCAGUCUUGAGGACAGUUGAGGUAGGCGGAAUUCGUGGUGUAGCGGUGAAAUGCUUAGAUAUCACGAAGAACCCCGAUUGCGAAGGCAGCUUACUAAACUGUGACUGACAUUGAUGCUCGAAAGUGUGGGUAUCAAACAGGAUUAGAUACCCUAGUAGUC